UACACAUAGAGAAGUGAUGGAUGAUUCUUAAUUGUGUUUAACAAGUAGUAAAGAAAAAUACCCUUUCCUUUUAAGUGACUUGACCUGAUAGUUUCUGACAAAAGCCCUGUUACAAGCUGUUCGAUCUUUAAUGAUUAAAAAAAAAAAAAAACUAUGUGGUAACACAUGGCAUGUAUGAUCUUCUAAAUUCUCCUGUGUUACUUCCAGGGUUUUGAUAAAAUAUAUAGAUUGUGCUCCUGUAAAAGCUGUCUUGCAUUGAAACAUUUUAUCCACAACAAAGGCAGAGCAUUAAAUGCCUCAGCACAUUCUGACACAAAGUAUGAAUGAACUUUGAGGAGCAUAGAAAAGCUACAGCACUGUACACUGGAUGAAUGGGCUCAUCCAGUCUGUGUAGGAUGAGAAACUACUGGAGUAGAAGAUGGAACUCAGGAAAUGCCAAAUUUACGGUGUGAAUGGAAGAACAAAUCCAAAAAGGAAACAAAAUGUGUAAAUUGAGAGAAACAUGUCCACCUGAAGGUUUUGUUUCAAAUGAGCCAUGUCUAGUAAGAAGUUGCUGCAGCCGAGGUC
This is a long non-coding RNA of Prionailurus viverrinus (fishing cat), 567 nucleotides long. RefSeq lists it as uncharacterized. NCBI's taxonomy places the organism in Eukaryota, Metazoa, Chordata, Mammalia, Carnivora, Felidae. The record is from RefSeq and is a predicted model, not a curated record. The transcript is spliced from 3 exons.